UGAGUUUGAUCCUGGCUCAGGACGAGCGCUGGCGGCGUGCCUAACACAUGCAAGUCGAGCGAGGAAGCCCCUUCGGGGGUGGAAUAGCGGCGGACGGGUGAGUAACACGUGGGUAACCUGCCUCAAAGAGGGGGAUAGCCUCCCGAAAGGGAGAUUAAUACCGCAUAGAAGGUAAAAAUCGCAUGAUAAAUACCUUAAAGGAGCAAUCCGCUUUGAGAUGGGCCCGCGUCGCAUUAGCUAGUUGGAGGGAUAAAAGCCCCCCAAGGCGACGAUGCGUAGCCGACCUGAGAGGGUGAACGGCCACAUUGGAACUGAGAUACGGUCCAGACUCCUACGGGAGGCAGCAGUGGGGAAUAUUGCACAAUGGGGGAAACCCUGAUGCAGCAACGCCGCGUGAGUGAAGAAGGUUUUCGGAUCGUAAAGCUCUGUCAUCCGGGACGAUAAUGACGGUACCGGAAGAGGAGGCCACGGCUAACUACGUGCCAGCAGCCGCGGUAAUAC
RNAcentral lists this ribosomal RNA (501 nucleotides) under uncultured bacterium. RNAcentral describes it as "bacterial SSU rRNA". It matches the Rfam family "Bacterial small subunit ribosomal RNA", at positions 1 to 526 of the family's 1533-position model. The record is from RNAcentral.